AAAGCGGUGAUGAGCAGCUAACAUGUAACAAGAUCUCAUGUAGGAAGUGGGUUCUUCAAUGAAUUCUUUUUACGCUUGGAUUCUAAGAUUU
Papaver somniferum (opium poppy) is the source of this 91-nucleotide small nucleolar RNA. RefSeq annotates it as small nucleolar RNA R24. NCBI's taxonomy places the organism in Eukaryota, Viridiplantae, Streptophyta, Magnoliopsida, Ranunculales, Papaveraceae. The transcript has a single exon. The record is from RefSeq and is a predicted model, not a curated record.